Molecule: ribosomal RNA, 54 nt
Filed under: Tanzania coconut lethal disease phytoplasma
Lineage: Bacteria; Bacillati; Mycoplasmatota; Mollicutes; Acholeplasmatales; Acholeplasmataceae
Description: partial 23S ribosomal RNA
Source: RNAcentral
GCGAAGGAAAUAAGGGCGUACAGUGGAUGCCUUGGCACUAAGAGCCGAUGAAGG